This 497-nucleotide ribosomal RNA is filed under the name uncultured bacterium. Its description in RNAcentral is "partial 16S ribosomal RNA". It matches the Rfam family "Bacterial small subunit ribosomal RNA", at positions 28 to 507 of the family's 1533-position model. The record is from RNAcentral.
GAUGAACGCUGGCGGCGUGCCUAAUACAUGCAAGUCGAGCGAACGGACGAGAAGCUUGCUUCUCUGAUGUUAGUGGCGGACGGGUGAGUAACACGUGGAUAACCUACCUAUAAGACUGGGAUAACUUCGGGAAACCGGAGCUAAUACCGGAUAAUAUUUUGAACCGCAUGGUUCAAAAGUGAAAGACGGUCUUGCUGUCACUUAUAGAUGGAUCCGCGCUGCAUUAGCUAGUUGGUAAGGUAACGGCUUACCAAGGCAACGAUGCAUAGCCGACCUGAGAGGGUGAUCGGCCACACUGGAACUGAGACACGGUCCAGACUCCUACGGGAGGCAGCAGUAGGGAAUCUUCCGCAAUGGGCGAAAGCCUGACGGAGCAACGCCGCGUGAGUGAUGAAGGUCUUCGGAUCGUAAAACUCUGUUAUUAGGGAAGAACAUAUGUGUAAGUAACCGUGCACAUCUUGACGGUACCUAAUCAGAAAGCCACGGCUAACUACGUG